GAAGACAACAUCUUAACUCUCCCACAACACCACCAUCAUCACAAACAACCCCAUUUUGUGAAUUUUCUUCAGCUAUUCUUUAUCUCCCAGAACUACUUUCCUUCCUGUUUUUCUUUCUCUCAAGCGCAUACAGCUUUUCUCAAGGAUACUUUUCACAUUAAGGAUUUCCCGGUUCAUUAUGUGGCCAAGAGUGAUUAUUACUUUUACAACUUUCUAUCAUAUAAACUUAUCAUUUAUCAUUUACUAGAUUGAUGGUAAAUGAUAUACUUUAUUAUUUGGUUAAGCAAUUAUGAUUUCAUUGAUUAAACAAAGCUAAAAAGAUGAGUCCCGAAAACAACAGAGACGCUGAGUUUGGUUAUGGAGCGGGUGAAGUUGAUUCCUCAAUGCUUUGCAUCCUGGCUUAAUAUAUGACACUAAGCAGGGCCGGUCCUGACUUUCUAGAGGCCCCGGGCAAAUAUAAAAAGUGGACCCUUAAAAAAAAUGAAAAAUUAACCAAAAGAUUUAGUUAUAAAUAAUACUAAUAUUAUUAAUUUUUUUAAUAUAUUAUUAUAAAAUAAAUUUAAUAAUGUAUCUUUUUAUUAAAAAAACGUCGUUUGAAUUAAGUUUGUUUACCAUUUUAAUCUUUUCUCGAUAUUAUAAGAGUGGAAGUUGUAAGUAGUAAUUACAUAAAAAAUAAUUUUUUUUUAGUUGUUUUGUAACACUUUGAUAAACCGUCAAAACGUAUUGCAAUUGUUGCAGUAUGAAAAGAGUUGAAUUAAUUAAAAAUCUAUAAAAUCUUAUAAUAUUGCGUUAGGUUAGACUAACUUAAAUUAAGAUAUUUUAAACUUAUUAAUUUAAUAUAUUAUCCAUAUAUCUAUAAGAAUUAAUUAAAAAUAACACUACUAUCCAAAAAAUUUAAAUAUAAUUUAAAAUAAAAUUUAACAAAUAUAUAUUUUUAUAAACAAAAUCAAACCAUUAAUAAUUAUAUCAUAGUAUUUUUUUAUUAUUUAAUUAUAUAGUAAACUUUUGAAUAUUCAAUUAAAAAAGUAUCAAAAAUGUAUAUAAAAGAAAUAAAAUCAAAAAGUUUAAUACUAUAUAUAAUAAAAAGUAGUUUAAGACUAUAUAUGAUUCUUCAGUUCAAGCGGUGCUUUUCUCAGGUACGCCAUUCAAGUAAUUUUAUAUAUAAUAAAAAGUAGUUUAAGACUAUAUAUGAUUCUUCAGUUCAAGCGGUGCUUUUCUCAGGUACGCCAUUCAAGUAAUUUUAUUAUGCAAAUAAACAAUAAACAAUUAAAAUCAUAAAAUGCAGCAACAAGGCUCGAACCUGCGUCAUCAGCUUAGCUGCACAAUUCCUUAACCGCUGCGCCGUCAACAACACACAAUACAGGGUUUCAUAAUACAAUAUAUAUAAUCAUUUUACAGAACAAUUCCUAAAGUCUAUUCCAAAAAAAUUUGAGGCCCCUCUUUUUUUGAGGCCCUGGGCUGUGGGCCUGCUUGCCCAGGCUCAGGGCCGGCCCUGACACUAAGUAAGAGGAUUAUAUUAAACUUUUAUGCGGACAUGGGUUCACUACAACCGCUCUACAAUCAUUCACAGGAGAUAAUAGCAAUUGCUCGAAAAUAACUCCUACAUCAGCAACAAAUUUGAACUACUGAGCAGCUGCUUUAAAAUUUACACAUCCUAAACAACAUGUUUGUGUGAGGAAGAUUUCAUAGGACUGUCAUCAAUGUUGGAACAUCUGUCUCUACUUAUAGAGCAAUUGUGACAGCGCCUAAAAGAUUACACAUAUGUUGUCAUUAUUGAUGGAGUAUUGAAGAAAUCUAUUGAGUCAACUUCUCUACAUUAGGUUGAUGGAAAUUUUAAAGUGAGAAGUUCAAUAGUGCUUUUCAACGAACGAGUCGAGAAAGUCGCAACAUCUCCAAAUUUCUAUCAUCGAAAUAGUUCUUUUCAACGAACGAGUCGAGAAAGUCGUAACACCUCCAAAUUUUUAUCAUCAAAAUAGUUCUUUUCAGCAAACGAGUCGAGAAAGUCACAACACCUCCAAAUUUCUAUCAUUAUUAUUAUUGUUGUUGUUAUUUUUAGUUUUUUAUUUUUAUUUUUUCUAUAAUUAUAUUGCUAGAUAUUUAUAGAACAUUAAAGAAAUGUAAAAGUAAAUAUUUAUAUUAGUAUAAAAUAAAUGAUAUAUUUUCAAUAAAUUAAAAUCUCUCACGCAUGUAUGAAAGUGGGAAAAAAAAUGUUUUUUGUCAAAAUAAUUUUGCAAUGGUAUUCACAACAUGGAGGUCUUUAAAUUAAUAUGAAUCUAGUAAAAAGGAUAAAAAAAGACUGGAAUGCAAUGAUUAGAAGUAUUAAGUUUUAAUAAAAAAUUAUUACAGCUUAUAAGCUUUUUUAAAGCAAAAACAAGUGUAAAGACAUAACUAUGCUGAAGUGCAAAAAAUGGGUAACGACAGAAUCAUUUGGAUCCCAGAUAGAAUGCAAUAGAGGUAUUCGGAAGGCGUAAGGAAGGCAUGCGUAAUUUUGUAGAAAACAAAUAUUCCAUCUAAGAUCUAUAUUUUUUUGUUUGAAGUUCAUUUUGGGCUGGUUGCCAUC
Molecule: long non-coding RNA, 2560 nt
Organism: Vicia villosa (hairy vetch)
Lineage: Eukaryota; Viridiplantae; Streptophyta; Magnoliopsida; Fabales; Fabaceae
Exons: 3
Source: RefSeq, a predicted model, not a curated record